RNAcentral lists this long non-coding RNA (1141 nucleotides) under Camarhynchus parvulus. Its description in RNAcentral is "lncRNA (ENSCPVG00000008503.2)". The record is from RNAcentral. Lineage: Eukaryota; Metazoa; Chordata; Aves; Passeriformes; Thraupidae.
AUGGCAUCGCUCCUUCCCGGGCCAGGCUCCUGGAGCGAGCCCUGGCACAGGAAGAGGCCAGGGCACUGCAGGGCACCAGCCACGGUGCCUGGGAAUGCAGCUGGGACCCGUGCGUGUCCCCGGCCGCGGGCAUCGGGCUCUGGGCACGCACCGGGGGCAGCCGCCGGCCCAGCCCAUCCCGCCCCGGGCACAGCGGAGCCGCGGCCGUGUGUCCCUGCGGGCAAAGGGCACGGCGGGCAGGGCAGGGACCCGCCAGGCAGGGGCAGUGCCAAGGUCCGAAGAGCCUCGCGGUGCCCGAGGGCGUCAUGCCCGGGGCCGGGGCCGCUGGAUGUCACCCUUGUGCCGUGCGUGCCCGGGCCGUCCCCUCCGCGGGCAGCGGGCUGGCUGCGCACACGCGUGUGCCCGCGCCCCGCUCUGUGCGCACACGCACAGGCACGCGGGGCCCUGCAGCUCCGUGCCGCGGCAUUUCCCAACUCCUGGCUGGAGCAGCGCCCCUGCAGCCCCCCCGCGCCCUGCCCCGACCUUUGCACGAAUCCCCCGGGCGGCCGCGGGGAGGCUAUAAAGGGUGAGCCCGGGGCUGCCCCGCGUCAGAGCCCGGCACAGGUGAGUGGGGACAUCCCCGGCGAGGGUCGUGCUGUAAGGGGACGGGGUCGGGACCCCCGUGCCCCACAUCGUGCGCUCUGCUCUCUCCGCAGCCAUGAAGGCGUCACUGCUGUUCCUGCUCGCCUGCACGGCCGUCCUGGCGCUGGGAGCAAGGGCCGACUCGUCCGAGGACUCGAAGGCGCUGGUGCAGAAGGUGCAGGAGCUGGCCCAGAAAGUCUCGGCCAUGACCAAGGACGCCUUCAGCAGGGUGCGGGAGUCGGAGGCGGCGCAGCAGGCCAGGCAGUGGCUGUCGGACAACGCGGAGCUGGCCAAGCAGCGGCUGCUGUGGCUCAAGGAGCAGCUGGCCGAGCUCCUGAAGAAGACUCCGGCCUCGUAGCCUCGCCGGGGACUGCCCGGGCUCUGUCGGGGCUGGGGACCCCCGGCUGGGGACCCCCGGCUCCCCCCGCUGUCGCGGUGCUCUCAAUAAAGCGGGGCUGAUGCAAACGCUGUGCUGCCAUCACUGCGGGCGGGCCGGGAGGAGCGGGACCCGCAGGGGGAG